Molecule: long non-coding RNA, 634 nt
Filed under: Homo sapiens (human)
Lineage: Eukaryota; Metazoa; Chordata; Mammalia; Primates; Hominidae
Description: HSALNT0364829
Source: RNAcentral
UUUGAGAAGCAAGGAAUUCGAUAAUUUCCAAAUUCCCUUCCAGUUCAGAGGUUCUGAUUGCUAAAUCAGAAUCUCUACUUGCUCACGUAAGCCCUUCUGAGUUUCCCUCCUCUUCUGGCUUAGGCUGACCUCUGUCUUUAGACGCAGUCUGCCUUCCUUCCCAAUUUAACAGUGCCACAAUUCCUGUGUCACCUGGGAUUUUCCUCCUCAACCAGGUGAAGGAAAAUGGAAGCUGGAAAACCUGCCCUUUCCCAUCUUCUGAGCUUGGAGGCAAGCACAGAGGCUCUUUUCUCUUUAAAAGGUUUUACUCCUUGUCAUUUGGAAAAUAGACAAGGGGAAAUUAUAAAAGCUUCAGAAAACUUGUUAAUAUCCUGGACAUUUCUUGCCAAGGCUUCUUCCUAUACAUAUACACAAAAAUAUGUUUUAUGGAAAUGGGAAUUACAGAAACUUGCUCUAAAGAAAAAUUGCUGGAUUAAGGGAUGUGAAUAUUUUAGCAGUGCUUGACACUUAGCCAAAUUGCCUUCCAGAAGUGAUGAAACAACUUACCCUCCCACAGGCAGCUCAUGAAACCUCCUGUCUCACCAAACUAGGUAUUGGAAUUCUAAAAAGAAAAUAAAGCUGUUUGCCAAUUUGA